Molecule: long non-coding RNA, 421 nt
Filed under: Homo sapiens (human)
Lineage: Eukaryota; Metazoa; Chordata; Mammalia; Primates; Hominidae
Description: HSALNT0106410
Source: RNAcentral
CUGCCAUAUCUCACCUGUCCUUCUCCUAUUCCAGGCUCGCUCUGGACCUACAGACUUCCUGCACCUCCCACAGAGCUCCCAAUACCUUAGUGCACUUCCUACCACCCUCCAAUCUAUUCCUCAUUCACAGUUCCCUUUAAAACAAAUAUACAUAUCUUAAUUCAAGGAGCAAAACAGCCUAGGUCCAGUGAGGAGGGGACCAAAACACUAACCCUCCCCACUUCAGCCCUUUGUCAAGAGAAGGAAAGUCCCACCUUGGCCCCUCAGGCCCUAGGUAACUGGGUAUGCAUGGGUCCCCCCAAGUCAGGUAAAGGAGAACUGGUGGGGAAGGGGAAGCAUACUUCUCUGCCAUCCGGUGCAGGGUCUUGAGCGAAGCUCGCAUUUCCUCCUCAGCCAGCCCCACCAGCAGCCCAUUGUCCUC